AGGAAAAAUGUCCACAUGUGUAAAAUAUGUGUAUAAUUUUACACAUGUUUUGCACAUAUAAUGCAUGUGUACAACACAUGUUUUAAAAUUUAUAUGUUGAACACAUAUAUUAUACACGUGUGUAACAUAUACAUUUUACAUAUGUUUAACACAUAUAUAAAAUAAUAUAUGUUCAAUACAUGUUUCAAAGAACAUAUACACGAAAAAAAAAAUGUUUAAUUUAUUAUUUAUUUUCAUGACUUUCACCUAUAUUUAUGCAUUUAUUAGUAAAUACUUGUAAAAUUAAAAUUUAUUUAACAAACUUUUGCCGAGUAACUUACAAAAAAUUUAUUAGUUAACCAAUUCCGGAUUUAAAUCGCGAUUGGCUUUAAUUUUGUCGUUUGCAAUCAUACGUCAUUUUUUACGUCACGGGAGCAGAAGAUGUUGAAUCAUUUACAGAUAUUCGAUUUGAGGCUAAAGGUAAGGUUUGUCAAUCAUCAUCUUAUUCAUUUAUUUGUAUUGUAAAAUUAUACAAAUGUUGCUGGUUACACACGGAGUUAUUUUACAACACGUGAAGUAGCUCAGAGCUUGUGUUCCGGCUUCAGGAAAAUUCGGGUUGAAAACAAGAAACCUGUAUUGUCAACGAUCGAUGCUUAUCCAAUCUACUUAGGUGAAAUUGAUGAAAGUUUUUAGAUGAAAUGUAAAAGCAAAUACGGUGAUUUAAUGUAUAUAUACACAUAAAGUUAUAUAUACUACAUCUGUUAUAUGUAAACGGUAGGUCUGUCGGUAAACGUUUUCCACAAAGCUUCAAUUAAGCAGUUGUAGCUGAAAAGAAAGCAGAUUUAUAGACAGAACAAUGCUUGAAAAUUAAGCGAACAUUAAUUAUAUGUUUAUCAAAUGUAUUUUUAUUUAGAUCAGACACAUUUUAAUCUUGAAAAGUGAAAGUAGAAUAAACUAGAGUAAAGCUCGUUGCAAAGUAACGAGCAGGUAUUCCAUAAAACUUAAAGCAGCAAGUCGAAAGUUUUAUAUAAUUUUGUUGUUGUUGUUGUUGAUAUAUCAAAACUGAAAAUUAAAUUGAUUGUUUAAAAUGUUACUUAUUAUGCAACAAGUUGCUAAAAUGUUCAGUCGGUUACUUAAUAUAUAUUAAGUGAGUAUGCUAAUUAACACACUUUAUUUUCAGACAGGUCACAGAAGACAUAAACUAACCCAGUGGAUAGCAGGGAUAUGUCUCUCUAAACUGUUUAUGCAGUUAAAAUGGCUAUAGUACAAAGGCUACCAAUAUUUGGUCGGUCAGGAAGUCUGAAGACAUGGAGUAAUGAAUUUUUCAAGAUCCAUACAUUCUUCUUGAGUUCAUAGACAGUUCUACACUGCAGCUGGUAUAAAAGUGACAAAUUAUGAAAGAACCCAGUCCACACAUGAAUUGCUAAGGUCAAUGCACUGAAAAGAAGGAAGUUGUAGUUAGAUCGACAUAGAGAUGGCUAGUUUUUUAGCUGUUCCACUCUACAAUGGACUAAUUUGAGACCCUCUCCCCCUGGAUGGCCUGUGCAAUUAAUUCAGACAAUUCACUCCACCAGGAAAGAGUCCUGUGGACAUGAGGAGAAAGAAGAUGACAUUAGCACUUAGGUUAUUCCUAACAAAGAAAAAGUUUACCGAAUGUUAGAAGUUCUGGCCAGAGUUUAAAGAGUUCUAUGUAUUAAUAAAAAAGACAACAGACGAAACAUCUGGGAGCUUCUGCAGAAAAAAGAAGAAAGAGGAAUUAAAGGUUACCAAGAGGUAAGUUAAAAAAUUGUUGUGAUAUCACUCUUUUACA
Molecule: long non-coding RNA, 1789 nt
Organism: Magallana angulata
Lineage: Eukaryota; Metazoa; Mollusca; Bivalvia; Ostreida; Ostreidae
Exons: 6
Source: RefSeq, a predicted model, not a curated record